This is a long non-coding RNA of Homo sapiens (human), 663 nucleotides long. Lineage: Eukaryota; Metazoa; Chordata; Mammalia; Primates; Hominidae. The record is from Ensembl.
GUGAAAAAAGGACAGAAGCAAAGGCUACACAAAACAAAGCCAGACCUGGAGAUCAUUUUCAAACUCUUCCCUCCUCACCCAAAAUACAUGAAAAGCCCUUCUGUAAAGCAACUGAUGUCUUCAACUUACUAUGAAACGGAGAUGAAUAACUCAGCUUGAUGAAGGAACCCUCAUGUCCACUCAAUUAAUGAUUGGGCACCUACCCUGGGUCAGAGGGCUUUUGGAGGUACAGAGUUCCUGGCCUUGACGAAGGUAAAGAAAGAGACAUGUCCUAUGCUGACCUUUUGGAUAAUAGAGCAUGGCAAAUUGGAGUCUUCAAUUAAGCACACGGAAUACAUGUGCUGAAUUGCUUUCUUUGCAAGGUUCAGAGUCAGAAUUCCUGCCCUGGGUUCUGAGUUGCUGAGUGGAGACGAUGAUGGAGAGCAGUGGAGACACGUGAUUUUCAGGGUGCUCUUUGCAUGCAUGAAAUGGAGCAAGACUUAUGAAGGGAAAAUGAAAGAGGAGGAUAGGAAGAUACGUCACCUCCUGGGUUUCCUCCAAUCAUCCAGUCCUCAUCUCUCUAUAUGUCUUUGAACACUCUGAGCGCCAUCAUGCCAAUUCCAUGGAUGAAACAAAUACCCAUGACUCAGCAUUUUUCUAAUGAAAACACGUGCGGUCUGACCC